RNAcentral lists this ribosomal RNA (291 nucleotides) under Salmonella enterica subsp. enterica serovar Muenchen. RNAcentral's name for it is "partial 16S ribosomal RNA". It matches the Rfam family "Bacterial small subunit ribosomal RNA", at positions 865 to 1156 of the family's 1533-position model. RNAcentral also lists the same sequence under 5 other names. The record is from RNAcentral. Lineage: Bacteria; Pseudomonadati; Pseudomonadota; Gammaproteobacteria; Enterobacterales; Enterobacteriaceae.
UAGACCGCCUGGGGAGUACGGCCGCAAGGUUAAAACUCAAAUGAAUUGACGGGGGCCCGCACAAGCGGUGGAGCAUGUGGUUUAAUUCGAUGCAACGCGAAGAACCUUACCUGGUCUUGACAUCCACAGAACUUUCCAGAGAUGGAUUGGUGCCUUCGGGAACUGUGAGACAGGUGCUGCAUGGCUGUCGUCAGCUCGUGUUGUGAAAUGUUGGGUUAAGUCCCGCAACGAGCGCAACCCUUAUCCUUUGUUGCCAGCGAUUAGGUCGGGAACUCAAAGGAGACUGCCAGU